UAUAAAAACCACAUCUAAAUUAAAAAAAAGGAGGGAUUGUGUCUCCAUUGAUUUUAUAACCUUUUCUUUCACCCUUUUGUUGUUGUUUUAGUUUUACUUACAGGUUGUUGUUCAGAAGGAGUGGAAAAAACUUAAGAAGCCAAAGAAUAAAAACGCUACCGUCGUGGACGUCGACACCGACGCGAUUCUGACUAAUAGCUGUGCAGCCACUGUUGGAAGCCGCACAGACCAAGCUCCACCGUUUACCUUACUCAGCCGCGCCGAAAUCGAUUCCUACCGUGAAAAGAUCUCUGUUUCGGUACUAAUUUCUAAUACUCUUCUAUUUACAAAUCUUUUUGUGGUUUUUUUUUUUAAGAAAAGAAAAUAGUGAAGUCUUGGUUUGGUUUCAAAGGCAGAGAUAAUAUACAUGUAUAUUGUGCUCUUCUCUCAUCCCUGGAUACAUACAAUUUUUUAUUCUUUUGGGUCCUUCCGGUUUUUGUCACGUGUCGGUACAUGAUUGUUUGAAAAGAAAAUUUGAAAGUUCAACUCAUGUGGCUAUUAAUCCACCGCCCCUUUGACACUUAUCAGAUCAUGCUGCUAUAUUUCCAAUUUUCUUAGUACCUUCUUACUAAUCUCAUAUACAUAUAUACAAUAUUUUAAUAUUUUCUUGUUUAGGAUUUUAUGUUUAAUAUAUAUUUUUAUUCAAUUAAUUGAUAAUUAGUAUAUUGUGAUGCUAGUAGUAAUGAGCUUAGAUUUUUAUCAACUCACAUUAACCAUUAGCGUACACCCCAUGUUUUAAUACUCUUAAGCCCAUUUCAUUUCUAUUAUUUGCUUAUUUAUUUUUAUAUAAUUAUAUAAUCAAUUCUAGUUAUUAUUUAUAUUUCUAAUUUGUUUUUUUUUAAAAAAGUGAAUUAAUAAUGUAAUAGAUAAUAAAAUUCUAUUUAUUAUCCGUUUCGAUUAAAUCUAUUGGUCGCGAUGGGUAGUAAUCAACCAAUUGAUUAAAUAUAAUUCAAAUAAACUUAUUUUGCUAAAUGGUUUUAACCAAAUCUAUUGGUUACGAUGAUUAGCAUUCCUUUAUCAAUUCGUUAUUAUUUGUAAUCAAAGCUAUUGAUUAUGAGGGAUAACGAUAAAAUUAAAUAAUUAAAACAAAUCAAUUUGCUAACGGUGAUAAUCGAAUCAAUCGAUUAGAAUAAUUAGCAAUGCUUUUAUUAAUCUGUUAACUAUGGUGAUCAAACCUAUUGGUUAUCGCGAUUAAUAGUACAAAUUAAAAUCAGGGUUGUACGCCCAUCUCAAAACAUUUUUCAAACCUUUUAAAAACUUCAAUUUCAAAAUAUAGAUUUUUAUCCUCAUUCAAAACAGCUUCAAUAUCAACUUACGGGUUUUUACCCUAGACAAUUCGAAAAGCCUUCAAACCAUCUCAAAUCAAAUUUCAACUCUAAAGGCGUACAACCCUAGUCCCGAACUACGUUGACUCUGAUUCUCCAUAAGGAGAUACGUAGGCACUUGGCAACAAGGCGAGUCCCCCUCUUCCAAACUCUAAUCAUGUUCAAAUAAUUAGCCUUUAACUCUUAUUACUCUCUGUCACCUUUCUUUAUAAGCCUUGCCAUAAACCUUUAUCUUUGAGAUGUUAGCCUUUAGGAAAGGGUUGAGGGUGCCUAACACCUUCCCUCGACCUGAAUAUAGUAUCUUACCCUGAUCUCUAUACUGCGUAGGGUUUCCUAUUCGCCCUUCAGAAUAGGUGGCGACUCUAAAGUUAUAAUUUUUAGGCAGGUUGCUACAGCUGGCGACUCUGCUGGGGAUAACUUGAAUGGUGAAUACUAUGCUCCUAUAGGUUUUAGGUUUUGGCAGGGUUUAGGUUUGACAACUUUUUAGGGUUUGGCUAAUUCGCUUUUUUUAGGGUUUGUAAUUAUUUUAUUUUAUUUUUUUAAAAAAAAAUUUUAUUUUUUUUUUAUCUAAAAAUAUUUAAUUGUUUAUAAUAUGUUUAUAUUUAAUUGUUUAUGUUAAUAUAUUUAUAUUUAAUUGCCUAAUUGUCAUAUUUUUAUAUGCACUGUUGACAUAUAAUGUAAUGUCAAAACCCUAAGUGUGGGAGUUAACUUUGAGAUCAAUAGGGGAGCAUGAAUCGCCUACGAGUCUCAUUGAUAACUCCACUCGGAGUGGGUUGAGUAUUCGGAAAUGUCCAAAACGAGGCUUGACUUUGUUGAGAGCAGGACUGGAUACUUGGCUGAUCUCUCCGAGAACCUACCCCAAAAAUUCGAACCUCAUGGAUAAAAUGAGUUGUUCUAAAACCCAAAGAGACAAAAAGUCUCGGAGGCUACGAACGACCCCAUGAGACCUUCUAGAACCCCCUAUAAAAAGGUUGGCUCCCAAGAGCCGCUACGUCGAACCUAUGAACUUAUGUGCUUAUGUGCUAUAUGUAUAUAUAUGUGUUGAUCAUUUUUUUUAUUAUUUCUUUUUCCAUUCAUCAUACAUCAGGGGCAUUCUUGCAUCAUAUUUUAUUCAAAAAAAAAAAAGAAAGAAAAAAGGAUAUCAAGCAUAUCAUGCAUGGCAUACACAUCAUUUUCAUGGCAUUAAGAGAAGAUUUCUCUUCUAUCUCCAGAGCAAGGAACCAUUGGGAAGGAUAACCUAACAUCCCGACCGUCUCAUCAAACCAGAUCUCAGCAAAAGAAAUCGAUGGAGCAGCUAGAACAGAAUCAAACUGCCCUUCGUGAAGAUGUGGAUCAACUAAAGGUUAGUAUGGAAGAGGUUAAAGGAGGUAUGGCUCAGAUGUUAGAAUUCAUGAAGGCCCUCAGGGACGAGAAAGAAAAAGCAAAAGAGGUUCAGUCUAGGGAUACCCUGGUUCAGGAUGAGAUCCCCAACGACGAAAACCCGCUGCUAGGAUUUGUUUCAGGCUUUGGCCCAGCUAAGGACAAAUCUCAGGCCCAAUCUGUCAGGAGAGCUAUCCAGUUCCAAGAGAAAGGAGAGACCUCCCAAGAAGGAUUUGUCCCCACUCCACAAACGAAAGGGACAAUCCGCACAGUUCGCAUUCCUGCUAGCAAUGUCCCUAAGGAUGAUGAUUACCUGGAUCUACAAUACGGAGUACAAGAGGUGGACAACACAAAACAAGCACCUCAAACACAACAGUCUAUUCCUAACUCUGGGGAAGACUCCAAGGACAGUGAGCAAAUCAAGACGCUAGAAGAGAGACUAAAAGUGGUAGAAGGAUACGAUGUCUUCGACGUGGAUACCUUCGAAAUGAGCUUGGUCUCAGACCUAACUAUCCCACGCAAAUUCAAGAUUCCCGACUUCGAGAAAUACAAAGGACUCACAUGUCCGAGGAAUCACUUGCGCAUGUAUGUGCGAAAAAUGGCUGCCUACGCCCACGAUCAAAAGCUAAUGAUACAUUUCUUUCAAGAAAGCUUAAGCGGAGCGUCCAUUGACUGGUACAUGCAAUUAGAGAAGUCUUCUGUCCGAAGCUGGAAUGAUUUGGCCAACACCUUCUUAAAGCAUUACAAGUACAACUUGGACAUGGCACCCAACCGAAUGCAAUUACAAAACAUGUCACAGAAGAAGGAUGAAUCAUUCAAGGAGUACGCCCAAAGGUGGAGGGAAAUGGCUUCUCGAGUCCAACCUCCCCUAAUGGAAAAAGAACUGGUUUUGUUUAAGACGUAUCCCAACCUUUUUAGGUAAUAUUCCUUAAAAUAUUUAUGCAAUCCUUUCUAAGACAUCUCUUGCCCUUUUAGGGAGCUUUUUAGUUAGUCUUCUCUAAGACAAUCCUUCCCGAGCUUUGUUUAAAGUCUAAUCUUAUUUACAUCAGUCAUUGAUCUACCCUAUUCAGGAACCUCUCCAGAUAGUCUUCUGUAAGACAUUACUUCAUUUUGAUGAAUCUCUCCUUCGGAUAUAAUCAAUGCAUAUGAUUCAGUCUGAAAAGCAUCGGUUUUAGAUAAUACUCUAUCAACACCUGGAUGGCAUCUUUAAGCCCAUCCCUUAUAACACUUUGCCAACACUUGGAUGGAAUCUUUAAGCCCAUCUCCGACAUAAGUCCAUGUACCAGCAAGGGCAAAUUUCUGAGUAUUCUAGUGUUUAAUCCUCUUCCACCUUCAGUUUCCAAUAGGCACAUAGGCCAAUCUACAUCCUCAGGUUUAAGAAGAUUGAACAGGGGCAGCUGUCAUUACCCAAAAUUUUCCCACUAUAUAUCAAGAUAGUUUGGCUCAGAUAGUCUCCACAGGCUCAUACAAUCUCUAAAGCAUGUUCACUCUCCUCCUAAGUAUAAGGACCAAAAUUAGGGUUUGGAUCUAAUCAAGGAAAAUGGGACCUCUGAGACCUCAAGUGGACUUAAUGGUAUCUCAUAUGAUUCUGAGUAUCUUCAGGCCAAGUUUUAAGUCUCAUAGUACAAGUUUGCUCAAUAAAAAACUCAAAUGAUCAACAAUCAACUAGUUUGACCUAAAAGUCAACUAUGGUCAAAUCACAAUCAAAACUCCUAAUUUUUGGUCAACAUCAAUGUUUUGAAGUCACAUUCAUCAUUUGAUCAAGGGUUGAUCAUGAUUCAUCAGUAGAAGGAUCGAAAAUCAUCAAAAGACAAAGUUUCUAAAUUAGGGUUUUAAGGAGAAAGUAAACUGAACUUUGACUGAUCAUAUCUCCCACAUGGUUCAUCAGAAAUUUCCCAACCCAAAGCUCAUUCUCAAGGAAAUUCAAUUCUCUACAACUUUGAUGUUGGGCUCAAGACCAAGAAAUUCACCAUUUGGGAAAUAUGAGCCAAAACAUUAUAGGUCCUUUUAAAGAUUCACAAAAAGCUGCUUUUUGUCAAAGCAAAUAUCAUUAAGAUAAAAUAUCCAAAUGCACAAAAUCUUCCAUAGUGGCUUGUAGAGGACAUCUUUAGCUUUCCAAAAAAUCCUAAAACACCUUCAUAGGAUGAAAAUUGAGAGUGUUAUGACUGUCAGAAGUUGGAGAAAUUUGAAGAACAUGAAACCCUAAAUGAAGGAUAUUGUAUUUUCAAGUAAUGGGCCAUAAGUUUUGGGUAAUCCACGUCAUUUUGAGAUCAUUUAAGGCCAAAGGAUCAUUUGAUAAUUAUUUUAUGAUUGUUAUUAUAUUUAUUUUGGAUUUAUUCAUGUAAAUUCAAUUUAAAUCAAAUAAAAUCAAAUCAUGCAAGAAGAUUCCAUUCAUUGAAUCAAGACCAAGUCCAUCUUAGGGCCAAUAACACGUUAAAAGUUGUGGAAAACAGAUUAGGAUUGGAUUUAGAAAGUUUUCAUGUAUUUUACAAAUCAAUAUUUUUUAAAAACAAUCCAAUUCUUCCUUUCCAAAACUAAAAACCCUAAUGUUGUCUCCUAUAUAUAUACUCUCCAAUCAGCCUCUCUCCCACGAAAAAAAAACCUUGCCUCAAAGUCCUCUCAAAGCCCCCUAAAAAUUCUUCAAAAAUGCAAAAGGUUAGGGCAUGAGUAAGAACACGUUUCAGGAAGAUUCAAGGCCUCCCAUACGUCCAAACGCGCUUUUGGGUCGAUAAAAGAUAAGGUUGAGUCAUGGCAUUGGCUUGGUAACAUUCGAAAAGCUCAUAAGAAAUUCAUCAUGUUCAUGCAUACUAUGACUUUCGUAUACAACAUUUUAUUGUUUUUAAAUCAAUACUAACCAUGUGUUUGAGUUUGUGAUGAUGUUUAGAGAUAUUUGGAACGUAGGUUAUGAAGCUUUAAUACAGGAACGAGGUUAUGCCAUGGUUAGGGCACAAACCAAGAACAUGAUCGGGUUCAUGUUUCCAAGAUGUUUCAGCCCAAAUAAAUACCAUAUUCGUGUUCAGAGGCUAAUUUUAACGAGAUCUGGACGGUUUUCAUUUUCGUUUGAUGCUGAUUUUUGCAGGUUACACUUUCCUGGAUUUAGCUACGAAAACUGGUGUCAAAAUCCGUAGCUAAUUGGCAUUAGAACUGUUUCUAAAAAUCCGCAGCUUUUUGUUGAAGAAGAUGAUGACAUGGACAGUCCUGGUCUUUUGUUGACCACACGCGUAGUACCUUGAGUGGCCGGUCAGCAAAGGCGCUACUCUCUCCUCUUCUAAUUGGCUCGCAUGUGAACAUGGGGGACCCGAUUUGACUCAAUUUUCUGAACUAACCAUUUAAUAAGUUGAUAGAAAGGGGUUUAGCAAAUUUUCCAAAUCUAAGAGUUAGCCAUUAAACAACACAAAACUAACGAUAACUAAGAAAAUAUCAAUUCUUUCUUGCCUCCUUCAAAACAUAAGGAGGCUAUAAAUACAUACAAGAGAAGACAUAUUAAACCCUAAUGGGCCAAGCCCAAACUAGAAAAUGGAUAAAAUAAGACUAACUAAUAGCACCCCUAUUUAAUAAGUGAUGAAAUCUUGUAGCUUUUUGGGCUUGAUUCUGAAACGUGUGGGCCUUCUAUCAUUACUCUCCGGCCCAAUAACAACCUUGUCCUCAAGGUUGGGCCUAACAGUGUUGCUGGGCGGAUGAAAGGAAGCAGCCCAUGGAGAAGAAAACGAGGUUGUGGAAGGAAUCUGUGAGGGUUGGGAAACAGCUGGCGGGAAAGAAAUAUUAGUGGGAGACAGCUCAUUGAUAGAUGUGGGAGCCAAGGCCACGCGUGAUGCAGAGAUUUUGCAUGUUUUCGAGGUGGCAACGGCUAGAUCUGCAGGAUCCAACGGACGAGAAGUGGAGAGAGGUAAAUUCAUGGAACUCACAAGUACAACAUUUGAGUAGUUUGCUCCUCCUUAGUGUCAACGUGACUCUCCUCUUGUGAACCUCCAUCAACGAGUGGUGUAUGUGAUUCUGAAACCGGCGGUGAGUGGAAGGUAAGCUUUCUAGUAUUGUCACUAUUAGGUUCAAGGUUCUGUUGCUCUAUAUUCUGACUAGCUCCGUUAUGUUCAUCUGUGGUAGGUAAAGCUUCCAGAUCCGGUGGAAGGUGUUAGAACAAGAUUUGUUCUUAUCAAUUAUCUUAGUUUUGAUGAUAACAAUAAUAUGAAUUUUGCUUAAGAUAAUAUGGUACUCUAAUCCAAUGCAAUUUCCCUUUCAGGAAAUAUAUAAAGAGUACGCAUAAUUCAGCGCUCAGAAGAUGUGUCUCAAAUGGUUCAGCAUGCAACAUCAGAACAUGGUCUGGCAAGACAUCAGAAGAUGGUCGAAGCAGAAUCAGAACAUGGGUCUAUGGAAGCAUCAGAAGAACAUGAGAUCAGAAGCACUGAAAAUCAGAAGAUGGUAUCACGCUCAGAAGCACUUCAAGGUCAGAAGAUCAGAAGAUGCUGUGCACCAAGCUGUUUGACUCUGAUGAUAUUCAAACGUCGUAUUCACAAACAUCAGAUCAGAAGGAAGUACACGUGGCAGACUACGCUGACUGACAAAAGGAACGUUAAAGCUACUAAAGGCUACGUCAGUAGACACAGCGUGAACAAGGCUCGAGGUAGUUGACAAAAGCGUAUAACAUUAAAUGCAAAGCUGUACGGAACACGCAAAGCAUUAAAUGCAUUCAACGGUCAUCUUUUCAACGCCUAUAAAUAUGAAGUUCUGAUGAGAAGCAAGGUUAACGAUUCUGCACAAAAUCAACUUAUAUCAAACUUGCUGAAACGCUGUUCAAAUCAAAACUCAGAAUCUUCAUCUUCAUCUAAGCUCACUACAUUGCUGUUGUAAUAUCUUAGUGAGAUUAAGCUUAAACUGUAAGAGAAAUAUCACAGUUGUGAUUAUCGCUUUUAAGAAGCAUUUGUAAACUCUUGAAUUGAUUACAUUAAGUUGUAAGGAACUAGAGUGAUCGGUUGAUCAGUAUACUCUAGGAAGUCUUGGCAGUUGGCUGAGCAGUUUGUAACUAGAGUGAUCAGGUUGAUCAGAAUACUCUAGAGGAAGUCUUAGCAGUUGGCUGAGCAGAAAGUCUUAGGAG
Molecule: RNA transcript, 7812 nt
Organism: Vicia villosa (hairy vetch)
Lineage: Eukaryota; Viridiplantae; Streptophyta; Magnoliopsida; Fabales; Fabaceae
Exons: 2
Source: RefSeq, a predicted model, not a curated record